Molecule: ribosomal RNA, 510 nt
Filed under: uncultured bacterium
Lineage: Bacteria
Description: partial 16S ribosomal RNA
Rfam family: Bacterial small subunit ribosomal RNA
Source: RNAcentral
GACGAACGCUGGCGGCGUGCUUAACACAUGCAAGUCGAACGAAGAGCGAUGGAUGCUUGCUUCUAUCAAUCUUAGUGGCGAACGGGUGAGUAACGCGUAAUCAACCUUCCCUUCAGAGGUGGACAACAGUUGGAAACGACUGCUAAUACCGCAUACGCUCUAAUCUCGGCAUCGAGGAUAGAUGAACGGUGGCCUCUACAUGUCAGCUAUCACUGAAGGUGGUGAUUGCGUCUGAUUAGCUAGUUGGAGGGGUAACGGACCACCAAGGCGAUGAUCAGUAGCCGGUCUGAGAGGAUGAACGGCCACAUUGGGACUGAGACACGGCCCAGACUCAUACGGGAGGCAGCAGUGGGGAAUCGUCCGCAAUGGACGAAAGACUGACGGAGAAACGCCGCGUGAGGGAUGACGGCCUUCGGGUUGUAAAGCUCGGUUAAUCGGGACGAAAGGCCUUCUUGCGAAUAGUGAGAAGGAUUGACGGUACCGGAAUAGAAAGCAACGGCUAACUACGUG